CUUGGAAUCGUCUUAGGCCUAAUUCCUAUUACUUUAGCGGGAUUAUUCGUGACUGCGUAUUUGCAAUACAUGCAUGGGGAUCAGUUGGAUCUUUGUUCCUUUUCCCUGUUGUACCUUAUGCAUCACCAUGAAUGA
This 135-nucleotide ribosomal RNA is filed under the name Triticum aestivum (bread wheat). RNAcentral describes it as "partial small subunit ribosomal RNA". The record is from RNAcentral. Lineage: Eukaryota; Viridiplantae; Streptophyta; Magnoliopsida; Poales; Poaceae.